RNAcentral lists this transfer RNA (83 nucleotides) under Pirellulaceae bacterium. RNAcentral describes it as "tRNA-Ser". It matches the Rfam family "tRNA". Rfam says of the family: Transfer RNA (tRNA) molecules are approximately 80 nucleotides in length. The record is from RNAcentral. Lineage: Bacteria; Pseudomonadati; Planctomycetota; Planctomycetia; Pirellulales; Pirellulaceae.
GGAAGAUAAGCGAAUUGGUUAGCAGCAUCAUUGGAAAUGAUGUACCCGUUUACGGGCUGCGGGUUCGAGUCCCGUGCCUUCCG